GGAGGCCGGGUGGGGCCACUUGGCCGGGCAGCCACGCCGCGGUCUGGGACUGUCCUGAAGGUGAAUUCCAGUGCCCCGGAAGGAAUGACAGGCAGCGGAGUCCUGCCAUCUCCUCCGAAAAAUGAAGCUGCUGAAAAGAAAAUAGAAAGAAUCACAAAGACCUCUGCCUUAGAAGUGUACAGACUCUGAGAAGCCAAGCUGUUUACCACAGCAGACUGGGGACCGCUCAACCCAGGGUCUGCUGUGGGAUGAGAUCAACUACCAUUGCCAUGUUGUUUGCUGUUUGGAGCUGGUAUGAUUCUAGGUUUGGUUGGAAGGCUGCAGGGUACAUGCUUGGUUUAAUGGAGGUCAUGGCUAUUGCUAGAGAGCCUAGAAGUCACUGCUCCACUGAAGGACUGGGAUCCAAAGAUAUUCCUUGUUCCCAAUGGCCAAGUCUUGAUAACAGGAGUGGCAUCCUGUGAAGAUGGAUUGCGAGAACUUUCACUGGAGCCCAGCACCUUGAGGAUAUCAAGAGGCUAAAACUAUGACUAACACGAAGAACUAUUAGGAAAACCUAUUUUAGCUUGAUGGUAGAAAUAACUGAGUAAAUACUAGCCAUGUCCGCACACAGAUUAGGUGCCAGUAUAAGUCUUUGAAGUCCUCAUUACCUGCAGGUACUCCAGCAGAUUCUCAGGUCACUACUUCGGGGUGUUAUGAUGAGAAUUCACGUAUUCCAUGGAGGGUGACAUUCAACAGCCUUGUAAAUGGCUUCCUUUCUAAGGCUCAAUGCUUCCGAGUAGAUGAAAGUGUGUUAAUUUGUCUAUGUGGUCAUUACAGAAUUGAUGGUAGGACCAUUAAGCAUCCUUCAAAGGCAAAAACGCAGUGUGCCUUAUAGUCAACACAUUUCCACAUGCUCCAAGGAAUCUGAGGGUAUGCAUGUGUCUUAACAAAG
RNAcentral lists this long non-coding RNA (931 nucleotides) under Cervus hanglu yarkandensis (Yarkand deer). RNAcentral describes it as "lncRNA (ENSCHYG00000022249.1)". Lineage: Eukaryota; Metazoa; Chordata; Mammalia; Artiodactyla; Cervidae. The record is from RNAcentral.